This 481-nucleotide ribosomal RNA is filed under the name uncultured bacterium. RNAcentral describes it as "partial 16S ribosomal RNA". It matches the Rfam family "Bacterial small subunit ribosomal RNA", at positions 28 to 507 of the family's 1533-position model. The record is from RNAcentral.
GAUGAACGCUGGCGGCGUGCUUAACACAUGCAAGUCGAACGAAGCAUUUAAGACAGAUUACUUCGGUUUGAAGUCUUUUAUGACUGAGUGGCGGACGGGUGAGUAACGCGUGGGUAACCUGCCUCAUACAGGGGGAUAGCAGCUGGAAACGGCUGGUAAUACCGCAUAAGCGCACAGUACCACAUGGUACAGUGUGAAAAACUCCGGUGGUAUGAGAUGGACCCGCGUCUGAUUAGCUUGUUGGCGGGGUAACGGCCCACCAAGGCGGCGAUCAGUAGCCGACCUGAGAGGGUGACCGGCCACAUUGGGACUGAGACACGGCCCAGACUCCUACGGGAGGCAGCAGUGGGGAAUAUUGCACAAUGGAGGAAACUCUGAUGCAGCGACGCCGCGUGAGUGAAGAAGUAGUUCGCUAUGUAAAGCUCUAUCAGCAGGGAAGAUAGUGACGGUACCUGACUAAGAAGCUCCGGCUAAAUACGUG